GUCAAUGCCUCCUGAAUCGAAACCACAGAAGUGAUAAGCUAACCAAUCGAAACUGACUGUGAAUCUGUCUAUAGCAGCUCAACGAUACGAAUCAACAUCUCUCUCACUCAACCCAGGGCACUGAACUAAGACUGGGACCACAAAUAGACUCCUAUAGAAGAGCCAAUCAAAACGACUCAAACACGACUCAUGCAACGACACGGGAUGCAACGAACAAUGACCAAUGCAUGAUACAACACAAUCCACAACAUGACAGGGCGCGACACACAAUCAUAUGGUGACAAUCAAAAUUUGGAUAGACGAUAGAAUCUCUAGAGUCACAUGAGUGUCCAAUGUGAGACAACUACAAAUAUGACUAAAGAAUUUCUAUCGAUAAUCCAGAAAAUGAUCGAGGUGUGAAGAAAAUAAAUGGGGUGUGAAGAACAACACUAUCACGAGAUCGAUACUCAAUCUAUAACAAAA
Molecule: long non-coding RNA, 462 nt
Filed under: Vitis vinifera (wine grape)
Lineage: Eukaryota; Viridiplantae; Streptophyta; Magnoliopsida; Vitales; Vitaceae
Description: long non-coding RNA (VVIN_LNC000831)
Source: RNAcentral